AGGCUUGUUCAACUAUCCCUGUUUCGGCUUUGGCCAAAAUAAAAAUAUGUUUAAACCAACUCCUGUUUCAUAAAAAUAUUUGAGGACGUGAUGUGUUCCACAUGAGAGUCGAUUUUGUAUAUGUAUGUCAAAUUAUGUCAAAGAUGAAUUUCACAUUCUUUAAAAAUGUCCACAUUGAUAUUCGUGAAACAUAUGUUACAAAUAUACUGUUUGAUUUGCAUUUAGAAGUUGGA
This is a long non-coding RNA of Haliotis rubra (blacklip abalone), 233 nucleotides long. RefSeq lists it as uncharacterized. NCBI's taxonomy places the organism in Eukaryota, Metazoa, Mollusca, Gastropoda, Lepetellida, Haliotidae. The record is from RefSeq and is a predicted model, not a curated record. The transcript has 3 exons.